This 247-nucleotide small RNA is filed under the name Pongo abelii (Sumatran orangutan). RNAcentral's name for it is "retained intron". The record is from RNAcentral. Lineage: Eukaryota; Metazoa; Chordata; Mammalia; Primates; Hominidae.
GGGCUGCUGACGCUUAGCCUGGAGCCCGCGGGGGAGACCUAGUUCGGCUCCGCCAUGCCGGCCGCCGGGAGUAACGAGCCGGACGGCGUCCUCAGCUAUCAGAGACCAGAUGAAGAAGCUGUGGUGGAUCAGGGUGGGACCAGUACAAUUCUCAACAUUCACUAUGAAAAAGAAGAGCUGGAAGGUAAGAACUACCAUGCUGUGUGAUCAGGGAAAUUGGUGAGGGGCAGCCUGGUGUGGGAAGACC